CCUACGGGUGGCAGCAGUGAGGAAUAUUGGUCAAUGGGCGGGAGCCUGAACCAGCCAAGUCGCGUGAGGGAUGAAGGAUCUAUGGUUCGUAAACCUCUUUUAUAAGGGAAUAAAGUGCGGGACGCGUCCCGCUUCGCAUGUACCUUAUGAAUAAGGAUCGGCUAACUCCGUGCCAGCAGCCGCGGUAAUACGGAAGGUCCGGGCGUUAUCCGGAUUUAUUGGGUUUAAAGGGAGCGUAGGCCGGCUUUUAAGUCAGCUGUUAAAGUCCGCGGCUCAACCGUGGAAUUGCAGUUGAAACUGGAGGCCUUGAGUGCACACAGGGAUGCCGGAAUUCAUGGUGUAGCGGUGAAAUGCUUAGAUAUCAUGAAGAACCCCGAUCGCGAAGGCAAGUGUCCGGGGUGCAACUGACGCUGAGGCUCGAAAGUGCGGGUAUCAAACAGGAUUAGAUACCCGUGUAGUC
Molecule: ribosomal RNA, 460 nt
Filed under: uncultured bacterium
Lineage: Bacteria
Description: partial 16S ribosomal RNA
Rfam family: Bacterial small subunit ribosomal RNA
Source: RNAcentral